Molecule: long non-coding RNA, 942 nt
Filed under: Anser cygnoides (Swan goose)
Lineage: Eukaryota; Metazoa; Chordata; Aves; Anseriformes; Anatidae
Description: lncRNA (ENSACDG00005015364.1)
Source: RNAcentral
GAAAGUGAUUUGCUAGCUUGGGUAUCAAGGCUGGAUUUGGGGCAAAAUAUGUCUAAACCCUGCCACUAAAGACAAGCUUCUGUAGCAACUCCUAGACUUAAAGGACCACAAUAACCAAAUAGUCCUUAAGGACUCUGUUUCACGUAUCUCUUGAGCACUAGUUAUCUCUGCAGCUAUAGAAGGCUACUUCUUUUCUGUGGGAGAAUAUAAUACAGAGUGCAAGGUUUGUGUUAGCCAUCAGAACUAAAGUGCAGACAGUACAGGUACUUUGGUCGAAUGUCUGGGUCCUGAGCACCAGGUGCUGUAGGAAAUGAUUUCCUUUGUAAAGCACAUUAAAAAUAACAAUAAUAAUAAUAUGUUCCUGAGUUGAUUACUUCUGUGUAUUUGAAAGUGAAACAAGCAGAAAGAGAUUUCUAGCUGAAGCCAGUAUCUUACAGGCACAAUUUGUAACUUGAUAAGGCACCCAGGAAAAUGACAAAGGGCAUGAAAAGCUACUGGCUAUGUUUUUUGUGAUACUUUUAAGCAGGCAGAUGCAAAGCAGCACCAAUUCUCACCCACCCACAUCUCAUCUCUCUCUCUCCCUCCCCACAGCUUAUUUUUAAAGCUUCAGAAGUUAUUAGUGGGUUAUCUCAGCUUUCUCUUUCCACCUGCACUCCUCUAUACCAUGAUGAAAAGAUUUGGCAAGUGAGACAUGGCAAGGACUGGGACAAUAUGCUGAGGUACAUUCCCUGCCUGAGCAUUUCCUGGAGUUGCUACUGUAGCGCACCCAUCUCAGAGCUUCUCAGAUUCUAGCCCCAGACCCUUUUCAUCACCUGCUAGUUCAAAGUGCUACUAGAAAAAAAUAAUAAUAUAAUAUAAUAUAAUAUAAUAUAAUAUAAUAUAAUAUAAUAUAAUAUAAUAUAAUAUAAUAAAGCCUCUUCUGCAAUGCCCCUUAUUUAAGUG